Molecule: ribosomal RNA, 253 nt
Filed under: uncultured bacterium
Lineage: Bacteria
Description: partial 16S ribosomal RNA
Rfam family: Bacterial small subunit ribosomal RNA
Source: RNAcentral
UACAGAGGUGGCGAACGUUGUCCGGAUUUAUUGGGUGUAAAGGGCAUGUAGGUGGUCUUGUAGGUCAAAGGUGAAAUGGCUCGGCUCAACCGGGUCAUUGCCUUUGAAACUGCAGGACUUGAGUACGGCAGAGGAGAGCGGAAUUCCCAGUGUAGCGGUGAAAUGCGUAGAUAUUGGGAGGAACACCGGUGGCGAAAGCGGCUCUCUGGUCCGAAACUGACACUGAGAUGCGAAAGCCAGGGGAGCAAACGGG